UUAGGAAAUUGCACUGAAAACACUCCCCCUAGCAUCUACCGGACAAAUCACGUCAAGAGUUGCUCAGCAGGGUGUUGCACCAAAACCUUAAGCUAAUUACACCAUGUUGGGAACAAAUCAAUCAUGACAGACAAGGACAACAAACAACACAAACACAAUCCAGAAUCGCCAAUGAAUCACUAUCAACAUGCGAUGCACUUAAAAACAAGCAAGAAGACAAGAUAAGGGGACCAUUCGCCCCAACACAAGAAAGCCCAAGAACACAACAGGAAAACACCCACAGGAUUUACAAAUACCAACAAACACCCCCCCCCACGCUUAAAAUCUGGCACUGUCCUCAGUGCAAACAAAAAGAGGGGUGAAAGAGGAAACUUCCCUAAAUACCGAUCCCGUGGUGAGUCUGUAGUGUCCCACCAUGUCUGCCUCUCUCUCAUCCAUAACAAGCAGUCUCCAACGUAACAACCUGCACCAAACAACAGAAACAACAAAACACAACAUAAACAAAACGAAAGAAAAAAAAACGAAACAAGGAAAAGCAAGAAAACAUGGGUUGCCUCCCAUGCAGCGCUAGUUUUUAAGUCGCCAGCCCGACUAAGAGAACCCCUUAACCAAAAUCCGAUUGAAGCUCCAGCUGCCUUAGCGCCC
This 645-nucleotide long non-coding RNA is filed under the name Salvia miltiorrhiza (redroot sage). Its description in RNAcentral is "long non-coding RNA (SMIL_LNC001254)". Lineage: Eukaryota; Viridiplantae; Streptophyta; Magnoliopsida; Lamiales; Lamiaceae. The record is from RNAcentral.